Molecule: long non-coding RNA, 837 nt
Filed under: Homo sapiens (human)
Lineage: Eukaryota; Metazoa; Chordata; Mammalia; Primates; Hominidae
Description: PREDICTED lncRNA (TCONS_00182059)
Source: RNAcentral
AGUUUCUCUAGGUUCAAAAGAAAGAGGAGUGAAGAGGAGUAAAACACACAUCUAUUAAAAAGCAAGAAGAUUAAAUAAAUUGAAGCUUUUUAUUUCUCUUUCUCUGCCUAAGGACCCAGUGGCUGUCUUGAUGUCUCACAGCAGGAAGAGACUCUCUCAAAUAGGUGUACACAUGGGGAGAGAGAGAGCAAGGAGACUGAGAUACAAUCAGCCACCAGCAAGUUGUCUUGAUUUUCUGAAUGGAGCGUGGUAGCAUGUUAUAGAGUCCAAGGAAUUUGCCAAAUCCGUGUGAGAAGAUUUGCCUCUCACAUGUGAGAGAAUUUUUUGAGAAAAAAAAGAUCCUGACCCCGUCCCUCUGCCACCACCCGAGUGAGGAAGACUGACAGAGCACAUUGGCUUGCUGUGGAGACAAGAUCAGGGAAAGCGCCCCUGAAAAGAAAGCAUUUUGGAAGUCCUGAAGGUGGAGAAGGAGAUUUAGAGGAAGAGUGAUAAAUCAGAAGUCUUCGUCCAAGAAUUAGCUUUGCACCAUCUACAGACCUAAGCAGCUGCAGUCCUGGAACUGUGUGAUAACUUGCCCAGAAAAUCUUCUUGUGGAAUCUGUCUUUACAUGGAAAAGACUUGGCAAUAUUUGUACAGCAACUGGAAGAAAGGUCUUUGCUGAGAUAUACAAAGAGGCAGAAUGUGUGUGGAUCACCGAUUAGACAAGGCGAAUAGGAGCAGAAUAGAAGAGGAAUGGAAUAGAACUCAAGAUGAUAAAACAUACUGUGUCCAGAAUUUAUUCCUUCCAGUGGGCUGUUGGUCUCACUGACUUUAAGAAUGAAGCUGCGGACCCUCGUG